RNAcentral lists this long non-coding RNA (1265 nucleotides) under Lonchura striata (white-rumped munia). RNAcentral's name for it is "domestica (Bengalese finch) lncRNA (ENSLSDG00000016325.1)". Lineage: Eukaryota; Metazoa; Chordata; Aves; Passeriformes; Estrildidae. The record is from RNAcentral.
GAGAGCCCCGGCUCCGGCUCCGGGCCCGGCCCCGCUCUGCCCACGGAGGAGAAGCCGCGGCCCAGGCUGGACGUGGGUUCACCCUACCUGUUGCUCAUUUUCUGGCUGAUGAAUUGUAGGUCUCUGGUCAUGAGAGUUCACUGGGCAUAUCCUGGUAAGGGAAUUUUUAAAAAAUUUGGAUUUUUAAGAAAGAGUUUUCCUAAACUUACCCUGGGUCUGGCACCAACAGGCUGCCAGGAUGGGCUGAGAGCCUCCAUGGCAAGUGUGUGGGGACUAGUGAGAGCCCAUGGUGACCACGUGGGGAAAAAGAGGAGCCAAAAUCUCUGUGGCCACCAGCACUUUCCUUGCUGACCACUUGGCCCAAGGUCUCAAGCAUCUGGAUUUUUUUCUGUGUUUAACAUUUUUUUUUUGUGGGUUUGUUAACUCGUAAUGCCCAAGCCCGGGGAGAGGUCUGUCUCAUCCAGGAGAACAAAAACAGGGGAGGGGGGGUUACCUGUUAAAUGGCAAGGAGAUAAUAAAGGUGUUUCUGUUGUGUUUGGUUUUAGCUCAGACUGGCUCAUUACUCUGUGAAUCAGGAGUGGGGGUUAGAUGCAAAGCCCCACCCUCCAAAAGGCACGAGGAGCUGCCAGCAGGACCUUGUCUCCAGGGACCCUCAGCAGAAGCCCCUCACCACGGCUGAUCCCACCUCAUCUUCCUCCUCCUCUCCCUGCUCUGCCCGCAGAGCCUGGCCUGGAGCAUGAUGCGAUCCUGAUUUACAGCAGAGCCUGUCCAGGCUGCCCAGGGCUGCUGACCAGCACCGGGGGACACAGCCAGGCUGCAGAGGACACCGGGACGUGCCCACCCUGCCCACUGCACUGCGGGCCACUCGCCGGUGAAGAACGGAAGGCUGGAAGAAUAGGAAAAUUUUUUACAAAAAAGAAGAAAAGAAAGAAAAAGAGUCGCCAACCCCAGGAAAUCUGUGUUAAUUGCUUAUGAAUGUCUCUGUCUAAAAAAUUAUCGAAUUGAUGUUGUCGUGCUUUUUUUUGACAGCCUGUCUGUUACAUUUUUUUAAAAUAUUCAUGCACCGAAAUCUAAUUACUAGGCAAAUUUAAUGAUAAUGAAAUGAAGGCACUUUAGCAGAAAGCAUAGGGCCUUGUUAAUGUUUUCUCAGCCUCUGUCUUGUUCAUAUUUUUAAAAUUAUUUUUUUUACAACUGUCUUUCUUCCAUAUGAAAAAAAAAAGAUUGCUGAAAAUAAAACUCAGAUUGCCGAUAAUGUUUGUGGUGGU